AUUGAACGCUGGCGGCAGGCCUAACACAUGCAAGUCGAACGAGUGGCGGACGGGUGAGUAAUGUUUGGGAAACUGCCCGAUGGAGGGGGAUAACUACUGGAAACUGUAGCUAAUACCGCAUACCAUCGGAUGUGCCCAGAUGGGAUUAGCUAGUUGGUGGGGUAACGGCUCACCUAGGCGACGAUCCCUAGCUGGUCUGAGAGGAUGACCAGCCACACUGGAACUGAGACACGGUCCAGACUCCUACGGGAGGCAGCAGUGGGGAAUAUUGCACAAUGGGCGCAAGCCUGAUGCAGCCAUGCCGCGUGAAUGAAGAAGGCCUUCGGGUUGUAAAGUACUUUCGGCGAGGAGGCGUUACUCGCAGAAGAAGCACCGGCUAACUCCGUGCCAGCAGCCGCGGUAAUAC
RNAcentral lists this ribosomal RNA (406 nucleotides) under uncultured bacterium. RNAcentral describes it as "partial 16S ribosomal RNA". It matches the Rfam family "Bacterial small subunit ribosomal RNA", at positions 30 to 526 of the family's 1533-position model. The record is from RNAcentral.